GACAGAGAGAGACAGGUGGUGCAUGGUUGUCGUCAGCUCGUGUCGUGAGAUGUUGGGUUAAGUCCCGCAACGAGCGCAACCCCUUAUCCCCAGUAGCCAGCAGGUAAGAGGCUGGGCACUCUGAGGAGAACUGCCAGGAUAAACCUGGAGGAAGGCGGGGAUGACGUUCAAAUCAUCAUGCCCCUUAUGAUUUGGGCUACACACGUGCUACAAUGGCGUGAACAGAGGGAAGCAGAGCCGCGAGGCCGAGCGAAUCUCAAAAAACGCGUCCCAGUUCGGACUGUAUCUGCAACCCGACUACACGAAGCUGGAAUCGCUAUAAUCGCAGAUCAAAAUGCUGCGGUGAAUACGUUCCCGGGUCUU
Molecule: ribosomal RNA, 363 nt
Filed under: uncultured bacterium
Lineage: Bacteria
Description: bacterial SSU rRNA
Rfam family: Bacterial small subunit ribosomal RNA
Source: RNAcentral